UGACGACGAGGCACUACGGUGCUGAAGCAACAAAUGCCCUGCUUCCAGGAAAAGCCUCUAAGCAUCAGGUAACAUCAAAUCGUACCCCAAACCGACACAGGUGGUCAGGUAGAGAAUACCAAGGCGCUUGAGAGAACUCGGGUGAAGGAACUAGGCAAAAUGGUGCCGUAACUUCGGGAGAAGGCACGCUGACACGUAGGUGAAGUGAUUUACUCAUGGAGCUGAAGUCAGUCGAAGAUACCAGCUGGCUGCAACUGUUUAUUAAAAACACAGCACUGUGCAAACACGAAAGUGGACGUAUACGGUGUGACGCCUGCCCGGUGCCGGAAGGUUAAUUGAUGGGGUCAGCGCAAGCGAAGCUCCUGAUCGAAGCCCCGGUAAACGGCGGCCGUAACUAUAACGGUCCUAAGGUAGCGAAAUUCCUUGUCGGGUAAGUUCCGACCUGCACGAAUGGCGUAAUGAUGGCCAGGCUGUCUCCACCCGAGACUCAGUGAAAUUGAACUCGCUGUGAAGAUGCAGUGUACCCGCGGCAAGACGGAAAGACCCCGUGAACCUUUACUAUAGCUUGACACUGAACAUUGAGCCUUGAUGUGUAGGAUAGGUGGGAGGCUUUGAAGUGUGGACGCCAGUCUGCAUGGAGCCGACCUUGAAAUACCACCCUUUAAUGUUUGAUGUUCUAACGUGGACCCGUUACCCGGGUUGCGGACAGUGUCUGGUGGGUAGUUUGACUGGGGCGGUCUCCUCCUAAAGAGUAACGGAGGAGCACGAAGGUUGGCUAAUCCUGGUCGGACAUCAGGAGGUUAGUGCAAUGGCAUAAGCCAGCUUGACUGCGAGCGUGACGGCGCGAGCAGGUGCGAAAGCAGGUCAUAGUGAUCCGGUGGUUCUGAAUGGAAGGGCCAUCGCUCAACGGAUAAAAGGUACUCCGGGGAUAACAGGCUGAUACCGCCCAAGAGUUCAUAUCGACGGCGGUGUUUGGCACCUCGAUGUCGGCUCAUCACAUCCUGGGGCUGAAGUAGGUCCCAAGGGUAUGGCUGUUCGCCAUUUAAAGUGGUACGCGAGCUGGGUUUAGAACGUCGUGAGACAGUUCGGUCCCUAUCUGCCGUGGGCGCUGGAGAACUGAGGGGGGCUGCUCCUAGUACGAGAGGACCGGAGUGGACGCAUCACUGGUGUUCGGGUUGUCAUGCCAAUGGCACUGCCCGGUAGCUAAAUGCGGAAGAGAUAAGUGCUGAAAGCAUCUAAGCACGAAACUUGCCCCGAGAUGAGUUCUCCCUGAGACUUAAAGUCUCCUGAAGGAACGUUGAAGACGACGAC
RNAcentral lists this ribosomal RNA (1311 nucleotides) under Salmonella enterica subsp. enterica serovar Enteritidis. RNAcentral's name for it is "partial 23S ribosomal RNA". It matches the Rfam family "Bacterial large subunit ribosomal RNA", at positions 1564 to 2851 of the family's 2925-position model. The record is from RNAcentral. Lineage: Bacteria; Pseudomonadati; Pseudomonadota; Gammaproteobacteria; Enterobacterales; Enterobacteriaceae.